RNA transcript from Musa acuminata AAA Group (dessert banana), 2840 nucleotides. It is a transcript of the gene named cyclin-B1-2-like, with no coding region annotated. The record is from RefSeq and is a predicted model, not a curated record. The transcript is spliced from 4 exons. NCBI's taxonomy places the organism in Eukaryota, Viridiplantae, Streptophyta, Magnoliopsida, Zingiberales, Musaceae.
UUGAAGCUCCCGACAUAGGAGGCCUCGACACUGGGGAACGUUAAAGGAAAACCGGUGUCGCGAGCACCGCCAAAACGAAGCGAGGGCGAGGAGGGAAGGCAAAGAUGUCUUUGAAAUCGGUGAUCGAGCACGAGGUGGUGGCGAAUCACGAUGCCCUCCGCUUCGGGCUGGACGGCGUCAAGGGCGACAUCGUUGGAUCCCACCCCCUCCAAUCCCGUCGCGAUUCUACGAGUAGAUUUUGGGAGGAGAAAAAGAGGAUGGGUUUGGACUUUACUUACGGAUCGGCUUUCAAUCUGAGGAGAGAUCUCGAUGCCCAAAUUCUAUCCAGGUACGCAUUUCGUUUCCCAGCAAAAAUCACAUAUCUCCUAUGUAAGAACGUAAAUUUGCUUAGGCUUGUUAAUUCAAGCAAUCAUCAAUCGACUCUCAUGAAAUCGAGACCUUAAGGAUUAUUUUCCAUCCUAUUUUUCUAUGACAGGCUUUAUUAUUUCUUUUAGAAAUUCUAUGAACAUUGUCGAAAAUCGAUUAAACGAUAAAAAUCAUCCUUGAUGCAUAGUGAUUACAAUUUAAAGAUUGGAGGAACAUUUUGAUUUGUAAAUGGUAGUGCGGUGUUUUAUUAAGGUGUUGUUUUUAACCAUCCUUUGAAAACAUUGUGGUUUAAAAUAGCAUGAUCAGUUCUAAUCAUUAUUUCCUAUUGGCCCGAAUGUGUCUACUGCCAGAUUGCUAAGCCAUGGGAAUUAACUUUGAAGGAGACAUCUUGUACUUAUUUUAACAUUCUAAAAGCUUUCAGUACCUUUUGUUUCGAAAUCAUUAAAGUUCUUGCCAUGAUCUUUGCUAGCUUUUCUGUUUCUGUCAGCCAUUCUUCCAUUUCAGUUAUAAUCAUUUAUAAAUCUGUUUGAAAAACUUGAGACUUCUGAUUUUGGUUCCAUUGCUUUUGUUCUUUGUCUACCACCUUGGAUCAUCUUUGUGGUAUUUUCAAGGUGCUAGUUUUUUGUUUGCAUCCUUUCCAGUUGAACUCUGGGGAUAAUUCUUUUUUCCAAAGGUAAAUCUUUUAUGAAAAUAUUUGGUUUUAAUUCCUUGUAUAAACAUAUGAUCAGUUAUAUCAAGAAGCUAUUGCUAACAGCAAACUACUGCAAGCACAAAGGGACAACGAAAAUUUUUGACGAGAAAAAAUGAUAGAUAGUGUAUUGGUAUGCAAUAGCAGAAAGCUCACAUCUAAAACCACUUGCUAAUCUUGUUAGUAUUUAGUAUUUAUUAUUUAAUCUAGAAUUCAUUAGAAUUUCUCUGGGUAUGCACCUCGAGUUCUUUGGAGUGUACAACCCUAAGGAGAAUGGCUAAAUGAUGCAUUCAACACGAAUUGGGUGAAUAUUGUUUGAGCUUCACAUUUUUUAUACGAUUCUCAGGUUACGGAGCCAAUCCGUAUAAUUUGGACCAGUGAGACGGUUGACAUUAAGUAUGCCACAUAAGGGAUUUGAAAGCGACAUUAUUCUAUAAAUAAAGAUGCAGUAGAAAUAAAAAAACAUGUAGAUUUUGCAGAAAAUUACAUAAUCAAGAUAUAGAUUUAUAUUUUAAUAUACUCCAACUAUUUUCUUGCAAAUCACAUAACACAAUCCUUUAUGUGAAUCGGAGACCCCCGGUGGAUCUCUAGUGGGGAUCGGGAUCAAAUCGGUGUAUUAACGUAACAUCGAGUGACUCAACCAAUUACGCUAAGCCCGUAAAGGUAGGCAAUUCUUGCCAAUCACAAUUUCUUGUGAUUCCCGUCCUGUUCGACCUUCGAACUACUAUGGCCUCGAGUGACUCGACCAACCAUGGUCUGAUGCAACAGCAUUCUUGGAGACCACAGAGGGGUUUGCCCGAGUCAUCUGUCUCUAUUCUUCGUGCGUGGCUGUUUGAGCACUUCCUUCAUCCUUACCCAAAGGAUUCUGAGACGCUGGUACUUGCAAGACAGACAAGCUUGACGAGAAGUCAGGUUUCAAACUGGUUCAUAAAUGCACCAGUUCGUCUUUGGAAGCCUAUGAUUAAAAACAUGUACAAAGAAGAAUUUGGAGAUACUGAGAUUGACUCAAAACUCUUCCUUAUCAAAUCCACCCAAACUGAAUGAAGACAUCCAACCUCUGAGGACCAUGAAGACUUGCAGAACCCCGCAACUGGAAGAUGCGAAACAAGCCAGAUAAGUGACUCGUCAAGACCCAAUACCGUCCCAACCAUGAAUGUGGCCACUUCAGCUGCUGCUUUCCUAGAUGGAACAACUACACGAGAUUCAUAUCCAUCGAUUGGACAAGAUUCCAGCUUUUACAAGAUGCUCUAGCUGGCACAGACAGGGGGUUUUUGGUGUAUCAGAUGGCUGAGUUAGGUCAAAACAGUGGGGGGUCUCUCACACUCGGGCUGCAGCACUGUGAUGUUGGCUUUCCUGUAUCAGACAAUCAACAGAGCCUUCUCGCCGUGCAGGCUGCAAAAGAUGCAAUCGAAUCUGAACACCAAUUUGGAUCAACAGGUGUUGCAUGAUUUUGUUGCUUGAAUUCAUCUGCUUCAGCUGUUGUUGCCAUCAGACUUCUCUGAACCAGAAUAAUUUGUCACAAGAUGCUUUCUAGGCAUUGCUUGCAAUCUUAUAGGAGAAAGUGAGUUUAGCGAGGUAAUGGAGUACAGGAGGUGUUGGAAUUAUGGGGUAGCAUGUUGUAAACAUAGAAUAAUUUUUGUAUAUCCUACGGCAAAAGAAAAAAAAAUACAAUUGAUUUAGGUCAAUGUGGUGUAUACUGAUUGAAUGGCUUCAAAGGCCUUACAUCUGAUCACAUGAUUGUAAGAAAGUUGGAUUGCAAUAACAACUGGAAGAAUUGUGAUCCUAA